RNAcentral lists this transfer RNA (63 nucleotides) under Undinula vulgaris. RNAcentral describes it as "tRNA-Trp". Lineage: Eukaryota; Metazoa; Arthropoda; Copepoda; Calanoida; Calanidae. The record is from RNAcentral.
AGAAAAUUAAGUUAAUAAAACUAUUAAACUUCAAAUUUAAAAUUAAUAUAAUAUUAUUUUCUA